Molecule: ribosomal RNA, 253 nt
Filed under: uncultured bacterium
Lineage: Bacteria
Description: partial 16S ribosomal RNA
Rfam family: Bacterial small subunit ribosomal RNA
Source: RNAcentral
UACGUAGGGGGCAAGCGUUAUCCGGAUUUACUGGGUGUAAAGGGAGCGUAGACGGCGAUGCAAGUCUGAAGUGAAAGCCCGGGGCUCAACCCCGGGACUGCUUUGGAAACUGUAUGGCUGGGGUGCUGGAGAGGCAAGCGGAAUUCCUAGUGUAGCGGUGAAAUGCGUAGAUAUUAGGAAGAACACCAGUGGCGAAGGCGGCUUGCUGGACAGUAACUGACGUUGAGGCUCGAAAGCGUGGGGAGCAAACAGG